UUCCGCUCCUCAAGACCGCACCUCCCCCGGCUCCUUCUCACUACCGAAACUCACCGAAGGAAACAGACGCCAGUGCUCCUCCCGGGGCUGCCACCACGGCUCCGGCAGGCGGGCCGGGGACCGGCCGAACCUGAGUUGACGGUGGAGGGGCUCGGGUUAGCUAGAUGGGCGGUUGGUUAGAUGCCGGCCGCCAGCUCCUGCUCGGUGUCCAAAACAAAAUGGCCGCCACGUCCAGUGCUUGUCUGACCGGCUAAAAUGGCGUCUACGCAAUUACGUCAGGCGUCAGAUCCGCGCACGACUAGAGGGCGGGAAAGAUUUGAGCUACGCCUGCGCAGAGAUGGAGUCUCGCUGUGUCACCCAGACUGGAGUGCAGUGGUACCAUCUCGGCUCACUGCAACCUCCGCCUCCCAGGUUCAAGCGAUUCUCCUGCCUCAGCCUCCUGAGUAGCUGGAAUUACAGUUGAGAAGCUGAUGUCUCCUCGACUUCCAACUGGAACCUUGAACCCCCACAUUUCUGGACCUUGAGCAUUCCUCAAGUAGGAAGAUGUAAUGCACCUUGACCUCUUUCUAAAUAAGACACUUCCCCAAAUAAGGGGAGUUGAGAGUGAACAGUCUUCACGUCUCCACCCACUUCCAGAUCCCAGAGGAGACAGACAUCGGAUGGCUGAAGAAAUUGUUACAGGCCACUGUGAGAGCAGCCACAAGCACCACAUACUCCUGGAAGUCCACCUCCCCGUCUCCAUUCUCGUCUAGCUCCUUCAUCACCUUGUCCACAGCAUCCACAUCCUUCUGGGCCUGUGGUGGGAGGAGAGGAAGAGGGAGGUGUAUAGGG
This is a long non-coding RNA of Homo sapiens (human), 831 nucleotides long. The record is from Ensembl. Lineage: Eukaryota; Metazoa; Chordata; Mammalia; Primates; Hominidae.